RNAcentral lists this ribosomal RNA (568 nucleotides) under uncultured bacterium. Its description in RNAcentral is "partial 16S ribosomal RNA". It matches the Rfam family "Bacterial small subunit ribosomal RNA", at positions 355 to 913 of the family's 1533-position model. The record is from RNAcentral.
UGGGGAAUAUUGCACAAUGGGCGCAAGCCUGAUGCAGCCAUGCCGCGUGUGUGAAGAAGGCCUUCGGGUUGUAAAGCACUUUCAGCGAGGAGGAAGGUGGUGAGCUUAAUACGCUCAUCAAUUGACGUUACUCGCAGAAGAAGCACCGGCUAACUCCGUGCCAGCAGCCGCGGUAAUACGGAGGGUGCAAGCGUUAAUCGGAAUUACUGGGCGUAAAGCGCACGCAGGCGGUUUGUUAAGUCAGAUGUGAAAUCCCCGGGCUCAACCUGGGAACUGCAUUUGAAACUGGCAAGCUAGAGUCUCGUAGAGGGGGGUAGAAUUCCAGGUGUAGCGGUGAAAUGCGUAGAGAUCUGGAGGAAUACCGGUGGCGAAGGCGGCCCCCCUGGACGAAGACUGACGCUCAGGUGCGAAAGCGUGGGGCAGCAAACAGGAUUAGAUACCCUGGUAGUCCACGCUGUAAACGAUGUCGAUUUGGAGGUUGUGCCCUUGAGGCGUGGCUUCCGGAGCUAACGCGUUAAAUCGACCGCCUGGGGAGUACGGCCGCAAGGUUAAAACUCAAAGGAAUUGC